Molecule: ribosomal RNA, 433 nt
Filed under: uncultured bacterium
Lineage: Bacteria
Description: partial 16S ribosomal RNA
Rfam family: Bacterial small subunit ribosomal RNA
Source: RNAcentral
AGCGAACGCUGGCGGCAGGCUUAACACAUGCAAGUCGAGCGGGCCCUUCGGGGUCAUCGGCGGACGGGGGAGGAACGCGUGGGAACGUGCCUUCUGGCCGGGCAUAACACUGGGAAACUAGGGCUAAUACCGGAUACGCCCUUCGGGGGAAAGGUUUACUGCCGGAGGAUCGGCCCGCGUCUGAUUAGCUAGUUGGUGGGGUAACGGCCUACCAAGGCGACGAUCAGUAGCUGGUCUGAGAGGAUGAUCAGCCACACUGGGACUGAGACACGGCCCAGACUCCUACGGGAGGCAGCAGUGGGGAAUAUUGGACAAUGGGCGCAAGCCUGAUCCAGCCAUGCCGCGUGAGUGAUGAAGGCCUUAGGGUUGUAAAGCUCUUUUAUCCGGGACGAUAAUGACGGUACCGGAGGAAUAAGCCCCGGCUAACUUCGUG